This 403-nucleotide ribosomal RNA is filed under the name Enterobacter sp. FES31. Its description in RNAcentral is "bacterial SSU rRNA". It matches the Rfam family "Bacterial small subunit ribosomal RNA", at positions 984 to 1383 of the family's 1533-position model. Lineage: Bacteria; Pseudomonadati; Pseudomonadota; Gammaproteobacteria; Enterobacterales; Enterobacteriaceae. The record is from RNAcentral.
UGCUCCACAGAACUUGCCAGAGAUGGCUUGGUGCCUUCGGGAACUGUGAGACAGGUGCUGCAUGGCUGUCGUCAGCUCGUGUUGUGAAAUGUUGGGUUAAGUCCCGCAACGAGCGCAACCCUUAUCCUUUGUUGCCAGCGGUCCGGCCGGGAACUCAAAGGAGACUGCCAGUGAUAAACUGGAGGAAGGUGGGGAUGACGUCAAGUCAUCAUGGCCCUUACGACCAGGGCUACACACGUGCUACAAUGGCGCAUACAAAGAGAAGCGACCUCGCGAGAGCAAGCGGACCUCAUAAAGUGCGUCGUAGUCCGGAUUGGAGUCUGCAACUCGACUCCAUGAAGUCGGAAUCGCUAGUAAUCGUGAAUCAGAAUGUCACGGUGAAUACGUUCCCGGGUCUUGGUAC